RNAcentral lists this ribosomal RNA (442 nucleotides) under uncultured bacterium. Its description in RNAcentral is "partial 16S ribosomal RNA". It matches the Rfam family "Bacterial small subunit ribosomal RNA", at positions 338 to 795 of the family's 1533-position model. The record is from RNAcentral.
CCUACGGGAGGCAGCAGUGGGGAAUAUUGGGCAAUGGGCGCAAGCCUGACCCAGCAACGCCGCGUGAAGGAAGAAGGCUUUCGGGUUGUAAACUUCUUUUAAGAGGGAAGAGCAGAAGACGGUACCACUUGAAUAAGCCACGGCUAACUACGUGCCAGCAGCCGCGGUAAUACGUAGGUGGCAAGCGUUGUCCGGAUUUACUGGGUGGAAAGGGCGUGCAGCCGGGAAGACAAGUCAGAUGUGAAAUCCCGCGGCUCAACCGCGGAACUGCAUUUGAAACUGUUUUUCUUGAGUACCGGAGAGGUCAUCGGAAUUCCUUGUGUAGCGGUGAAAUGCGUAGAUAUAAGGAAGAACACCAGUGGCGAAGGCGGAUGACUGGACGGCAACUGACGGUGAGGCGCGAAAGCGUGGGGAGCAAACAGGAUUAGAUACCCCAGUAGUC